GAUCCUGGCUCAGGAUGAACGCUAGCGACAGGCCUAACACAUGCAAGUCGAGGGGCAGCGGGGAGGUAGCAAUACCUUUGACGGCGACCGGCGCACGGGUGAGUAACACGUAUACAAUCCACCUGUAACAGGGGAUAACCCGGAGAAAUCCGGACUAAUACCCCAUAAUAUGGGCGCUCCGCAUGGAGAGUUCAUUAAAGAGAGCUAAUUUUGGUUACAGACGAGCAUGCGCUCCAUUACGCCUAGG
This 247-nucleotide ribosomal RNA is filed under the name uncultured bacterium. RNAcentral's name for it is "partial 16S ribosomal RNA". It matches the Rfam family "Bacterial small subunit ribosomal RNA", at positions 15 to 251 of the family's 1533-position model. The record is from RNAcentral.